AGGAGUUUCGUGAGAGCUAAUGUGGACACAGGAAAUAAGACAGUUUGAAAAUUGCAGACUUUCAAACACCAACUUCAGAUGGAUGGCAGCAGUUGUGGUGUUCUGAUAUUAAAUUUUGCAGAACAGUACCUUACAAGUGGAUCAAUUGAUCAGGUGGAAACCAGCCCAGCAUCUAUAAGAGCAGAAAGACUGGAGAUUGCUGGCCUCCUUAUGGAAAAUCAGGGUAACAUAGAUGAAUACUGCAUAAUAUGCAGCAUGAUGGACCUGCAAUCAGCCAACACCACAAUUAACAUGGUGCAAUGUGAUCACUGCAACAGACGGGCACACACUGAAUGCACACCGUACUCUGCUGAAGAGUUAUCAACAGAUGGGUACACACUGAAUGCACUCCGUACUCUGCUAAAGAGUUAUCAACAGAUGGGCACACACUGAAUGCACUCCGUACUCUGCUGAAGAGUUAUCAACAGAUGGGCACACACUGAAUGCA
Acipenser ruthenus (sterlet) is the source of this 487-nucleotide long non-coding RNA. RefSeq lists it as uncharacterized. The transcript has 4 exons. The record is from RefSeq and is a predicted model, not a curated record. Lineage: Eukaryota; Metazoa; Chordata; Actinopteri; Acipenseriformes; Acipenseridae.